Small nucleolar RNA from Lycium barbarum (goji berry), 86 nucleotides. RefSeq annotates it as small nucleolar RNA R44/J54/Z268 family. Lineage: Eukaryota; Viridiplantae; Streptophyta; Magnoliopsida; Solanales; Solanaceae. The transcript has a single exon. The record is from RefSeq and is a predicted model, not a curated record.
CUUGCAAUGAUGAUAGAACAGACAGGGACAUCAGCACCCGUCUCUGGGGGAUGAUGAUUUGUCGAUGGGAAUCUCUCUGAUGCUUG